Molecule: ribosomal RNA, 465 nt
Filed under: Vreelandella stevensii
Lineage: Bacteria; Pseudomonadati; Pseudomonadota; Gammaproteobacteria; Oceanospirillales; Halomonadaceae
Description: partial 16S ribosomal RNA
Rfam family: Bacterial small subunit ribosomal RNA
Source: RNAcentral
CCUACGGGGGGCUGCAGUGGGGAAUAUUGGACAAUGGGGGCAACCCUGAUCCAGCCAUGCCGCGUGUGUGAAGAAGGCCCUCGGGUUGUAAAGCACUUUCAGUGAGGAAGAACGCCUGGUGGUUAAUACCCAUCAGGAAAGACAUCACUCACAGAAGAAGCACCGGCUAACUCCGUGCCAGCAGCCGCGGUAAUACGGAGGGUGCGAGCGUUAAUCGGAAUUACUGGGCGUAAAGCGCGCGUAGGUGGCUUGAUAAGCCGGUUGUGAAAGCCCCGGGCUCAACCUGGGAACGGCAUCCGGAACUGUCAAGCUAGAGUGCAGGAGAGGAAGGUAGAAUUCCCGGUGUAGCGGUGAAAUGCGUAGGGAUCGGGAGGAAUACCAGUGGCGAAGGCGGCCUUCUGGACUGACACUGACACUGAGGUGCGAAAGCGUGGGUAGCAAACAGGAUUAGAUACCCUGGUAGUC